This 280-nucleotide long non-coding RNA is filed under the name Sus scrofa (pig). RNAcentral describes it as "lncRNA (ENSSSCG00025026476.1, ENSSSCG00035021971.1, ENSSSCG00065069569.1)". The record is from RNAcentral. Lineage: Eukaryota; Metazoa; Chordata; Mammalia; Artiodactyla; Suidae.
AUGAGGAGAGGCUGGCAGUGCUGCCUAGUAACCAGAGAGGUGUGUGCCAGCAUCCCCAGAUGCCUGGACCAGAAGAACCACGUCCGUCAGCAAUCUGGAGAAGAAGAAUUCACAUUUAAAGUUUGGAAAGUGGCAGAAAAAAAAGCCACAUCAUUUCCUAAGAAGCAGGGCCUCAGAGGACCUGAAUGAAGCCCCAGUAGAUUCUGGGCCAGCCGAGCAAGGCCUUGGGUUCUGGCAGGGCAGAAGCCGGUGUCUGAAUAUCCUGACCAGCCAAGGGGAG